RNAcentral lists this ribosomal RNA (323 nucleotides) under uncultured bacterium. Its description in RNAcentral is "bacterial SSU rRNA". It matches the Rfam family "Bacterial small subunit ribosomal RNA", at positions 28 to 334 of the family's 1533-position model. The record is from RNAcentral.
GACGAACGCUGGCGGCAUGCCUAACACAUGCAAGUCGAACGGAGAAUGUCAAAUGAAGUUUUCGGAUGGAUUUUGAUAUUCUUAGUGGCGGACGGGUGAGUAACGCGUGAGCAACCUGCCUUUCAGUGGGGGACAACAGUUGGAAACGACUGCUAAUACCGCAUAAUGUAUACGGAUCGCAUGGUCUGUAUACCAAAGAUUUAUCGCUGAAAGAUGGGCUCGCGUAUGAUUAGAUAGUUGGUGAGGUAACGGCUCACCAAGUCGACGAUCAUUAGCCGGACUGAGAGGUUGAACGGCCACAUUGGGACUGAGACACGGCCCAG